This is a long non-coding RNA of Sphaerodactylus townsendi, 495 nucleotides long. RefSeq lists it as uncharacterized. NCBI's taxonomy places the organism in Eukaryota, Metazoa, Chordata, Lepidosauria, Squamata, Sphaerodactylidae. The record is from RefSeq and is a predicted model, not a curated record. The transcript has 2 exons.
CCAAUUGGCCAUGCUGGCAGGGGCUGAUGGGAAUUGUAGUCCAUAACAUCUGGAGUGCCAAAGGUUCGCCACCACGGCUCUAAGCCGUUCAGAUGACUGAGCAGACAAAAGGUACCCAGCUGUCUGAGAUGGAUUGAGAUUCCCGGUAGAAAAUUAUUCUGAAGUCAGAAUACGUGAAUGAAUGCGUAUGUGAAUGAAAAUCCUGCCGCCGUCUCUGGGUAGAGAUCGAACCCCCUCAUCUGGUGUUGCCUUAUGUUGGGAUGGACCAGUUGGAAUGAACCAGAAGGAUCUUACAGAACAGCCUGUUAAAAAAAAGAGAGAGAGAGAAUUAAUUCUUGCUCCCGAAGACGGUUUCCAAAAAGAUUGUCCAUAUUAAUCCUGAUAUCAACUAUUGCCAUUAAUUUUGUAAAUAAACAUUGACUGAAUUCUGAAUUUUGGGACAUUGGCUAAGCUGUUAAGUUAUGCUCUGAAUAAAUGUGCUCGUUCCAGAAGGAA